RNAcentral lists this ribosomal RNA (497 nucleotides) under uncultured bacterium. RNAcentral describes it as "bacterial SSU rRNA". It matches the Rfam family "Bacterial small subunit ribosomal RNA", at positions 24 to 518 of the family's 1533-position model. The record is from RNAcentral.
UCAGGAUGAACGCUAGCGGCAGGCUAACGCAUGCAAGUCGAGGGCAUCGGGAGUAGCAAUACUUGCCGGCGACCGGCGCAAGGUGCGUAACGCGUGAGCAACAUGCCCGUAUCAGGGGGAUAAUCCAUGGAAACGUGGUCUAAUACCCCAUAGUAAUUAUGUAAGGCAUCUUAUAUAAUUUAAAGCUUUGGUGGAUACGGAUUGGCUCGCGUGACAUUAGCUAGAUGGUAAGGUAACGGCUUACCAUGGCUACGAUGUCUAGGGGUUCUGAGAGGAAGGUCCCCCACACUGGAACUGAGACACGGUCCAGACUCCUACGGGAGGCAGCAGUGAGGAAUAUUGGACAAUGGAUGGAAAUCUGAUCCAGCCAUGCCGCGUGCCAGGAAGACGGCCCUAUGGGUUGUAAACUGCUUUUGUAUGGGAGCAAUAAGGGCUACGCGUAGUCCGAUGAGAGUACCAUACGAAUAAGCACCGGCUAACUCCGUGCCAGCCGCGGC